This 253-nucleotide ribosomal RNA is filed under the name uncultured bacterium. RNAcentral describes it as "partial 16S ribosomal RNA". It matches the Rfam family "Bacterial small subunit ribosomal RNA", at positions 527 to 779 of the family's 1533-position model. The record is from RNAcentral.
CGGAGGAGCUAGCGUUAUUCGGAAUUACUGGGCGUAAAGACGCACGUAGGCGGCUUUGUAAGUUAGAGGUGAAGCCCGGAGCUCAACUCCGGAACUGCCUUUAAGACUGCAUCGCUUGAAUCCAGGAGAGGUGAGUGGAAUUCCGAGUGUAGAGGUGAAAUUCGUAGAUAUUCGGAAGAACACCAGUGGCGAAGGCGGCUCACUGGACUGGUAUUGACGCUGAGGUGCGAAAGCGUGGGGAGCAAACAGGAUU